Non-coding RNA from Mycena crocata, 91 nucleotides. The record is from the annotation of a GenBank genome assembly. Lineage: Eukaryota; Fungi; Basidiomycota; Agaricomycetes; Agaricales; Mycenaceae.
UCGGCCGUGGUGCGCGGCGCACGCCCGCUUGUGGUAGCCAGGUUGCAACGAUGGAGAGCGGGAAGGCUGGGUUCGAUCCCCAGCCGCCGAA